This 251-nucleotide unclassified non-coding RNA is filed under the name Hevea brasiliensis (rubber tree). Lineage: Eukaryota; Viridiplantae; Streptophyta; Magnoliopsida; Malpighiales; Euphorbiaceae. The record is from RNAcentral.
CAAACCGCACACUGUUAUCAACACCCAUAGCCGCAUAAGCACCUGAAUAAUUUACAUUCUCUGUAUUAGUAGGAGCUAAAGAACCACAGAGAACGCGAGUCCUCUGAAGCUCAAUGUGAGGAGGCAACUUCCCCUUUGGCAAGUCCGGCAAAUCCCAUACUGAAACCUUUGUGAAGGUCUCCUCUUGUGUUGAUGUGCCUUCGGAAUCCAUGCUCUCGUUCUCUGUUGCGGUGCCCAUGAUUAGGGUUUAG